AGUGAACGCUGGCGGCGUGCUUAACACAUGCAAGUCGAACGAGAACGGAUUAUAGCUUGCUAUAAUUGUCAGCUAAGUGGCGCACGGGUGAGUAAUGUAUAGGUAAUAUGCCUCUUACUAAGGGAUAACAAAUGGAAACGUUUGCUAAUACCUUAUACUCCUUAUUAACAGAAGUUAAUAAGGGAAAGAUUUAUUGGUAAGAGAUUAGCCUGUAUUGUAUCAGUUAGUUGGCGGGGUAAUGGCUUACCAAGACUAUGACACAUAACUGGUUUGAGAGGAUGAUCAGUCACACUGGAACUGAGACACGGUCCAGACUCCUACGGGAGGCAGCAGUGGGGAAUAUUGCACAAUGGACGAAAGUCUGAUGCAGCAACGCCGCGUGGAGGAUGACACAUUUCGGAGUGUAAACUUCUUUUAUGUGGGAAGAUUAUGAUGGUACCACAUGAAUAAGGACCGGCUAACUACGUGCCAGCCGCCGCCGUAA
Molecule: ribosomal RNA, 484 nt
Filed under: uncultured bacterium
Lineage: Bacteria
Description: partial 16S ribosomal RNA
Rfam family: Bacterial small subunit ribosomal RNA
Source: RNAcentral